AGCAGUCGCCACGGGAAUACGGAGGGAGCUAGCGUUGUUCGGAAUUACUGGGCGUAAAGCGCGCGUAGGCGGUUACUCAAGUCAGAGGUGAAAGCCCGGGGCUCAACCCCGGAACUGCCUUUGAAACUAGGUGACUAGAAUCUUGGAGAGGUCAGUGGAAUUCCGAGUGUAGAGGUGAAAUUCGUAGAUAUUCGGAAGAACACCAGUGGCGAAGGCGACUGACUGGACAAGUAUUGACGCUGAGGUGCGAAAGCGUGGGGAGCAAACAGGAUUAGAUACCCCUGUAGUCCCUGUCUCUUAUAA
RNAcentral lists this ribosomal RNA (303 nucleotides) under uncultured bacterium. RNAcentral's name for it is "partial 16S ribosomal RNA". It matches the Rfam family "Bacterial small subunit ribosomal RNA", at positions 507 to 809 of the family's 1533-position model. The record is from RNAcentral.